Molecule: non-coding RNA, 3006 nt
Organism: Aegilops tauschii subsp. strangulata
Lineage: Eukaryota; Viridiplantae; Streptophyta; Magnoliopsida; Poales; Poaceae
Source: RefSeq, a predicted model, not a curated record
CAGUUAUGUUUUUCCAACUGAAAUCAUUUUCCUUGCUAGGCGCUAGCUAUACCUGACAACAGGUAAGAGACGUGUUGUUGGCAACUCACCCUUAGUUACAGUUGAGGUACUUGCACAAAAGACGCGUGAAAAUGUUUGAUUUUAACAUUGUUUUACCGUAUGCUUUGAUUUCAUCGGGAAAGAGGAGAAGACGAGAGGAAGAGAGUCCCUAGGGGUAAGUAUCGCCGAGCACAACAGGUUGAAACAAAAAUACUGAGAUGGUGUUGAGAACAGAAAAUAGGAGAAAUAGUCCAAUGUUUUACACAAAAUGUUGUGACACAUGCACAUGACAUAGAUAUUUUAAUCAAUAUCUCAUUUAAUGAACUAAUCAAGAAAGACAAAAAAAUAGAUUGACUCAUGAUGAAAAAUAUGUUCGGCUUGAUUUGUACUAUCAAUUUUUGUCGCAACACAGUCAUAAGUCGCAUGUGACGUUCACAUUGUGAAUUGAAAUGAUGUUUUGAUUAGUGUCUUAGUUUGUUGUUUCAUGGUAGCACGGGCAUUCACCUGUGUUAGUUUUUCAUCUUGAAUGGAAGUAACUUUGUGUUCUAAUUGAUUGAGCAUAUGAAUUUAUGAAGUAUUGGUUGUGUAUGCUAAUUCUGACGGAUGGAAUCCUUUGCUUUAUAGCAUCAUGCACUAAUAUCUCUACCCCUAAUGUCUCAGUUGGUAGAAUAGUCUUCACGAAUUUUUUUCGUCCCACCAUUUUGGUCCGGUUUUUUCGUUGGUUUUUUGUCCCCACCCCACCCCACGCAAGCACCCCAAAAAAAACAACCCGCACAAACACCGAUCCUAUCGAUCCCCUGGAGGACAUGCAGCCACCGUCGUGUGAUCUUCCUCACACAGACGCACGAGAUCGCCGCCGCCGACCUCACAGAGAAGACGCCGCCGAAUCUUGUACACGUACGAGAUCGCCAGAUCCCUAGAACGCCGCUGAUCUAUUCACUACAUCGACGGAAACCAAGCGCUACACUAGAAACCAGGCCGAUCCCAGAGCGAGAAGAAGAAGGAGAAGAGGGUCUCCAUGGCUCAUCAGGCGUCGGCGGGCAGCGAUGACACGCGGCUGCGAAGGUGUUCGUGGAUGGCCUGGCGUGGAAGAUGAGCAAGGAGGGUGUGCACGACCAGUUCGAGCUCUUCGGCGAGAUCCUCGAGGCCGUCGUCAUCGCCAACAAGGGCACCGACAUAUCCAAGGCCGCGGAUUCGUGAGUACCCACCCAAACAAUUCUCUCUUCCCCUCAUCAUCGAUUCAUGUUCAGUAGUUAAUUCUCUUGUUUAAUUCAGCCCCGUUAGUUGAUGCUAUGCCUAGAUGGAUGCUUGGCAGGUUACAUUUUGGGAGGCGGAGGCGGCCAUUAGGGCGUGCUUCGGUCCGUAUCGGUGAUUGACGACCGGAGGACUAACUGCAACCUCGCCCGCCUCAGGGUCCAGAGGUCCAAGGCCCCACAACCAACUGCCUCUGCAUCCAUAUGCUGCAAUCAAGUUACCAAAUCUGAAGCAUUUUAGCAAGGCAACGGUACAUGUGCUCUUUUGGUGGAAGAUGAAGCUUUUGUUGGUAAUGUGAUGUUUUUUCUGAAGAAGACUGACAACCCUGCAUCAUGAGAUCGCCAAAGUCCAGUCUCGUUUCUACUGGGCAGGCGACAACGAUAGAUAGAAACACCAUAUGGUCAGCUGGACGGACAUCUGCAAGCCUCGGGAGUAGGAGGGCUUGGGAUCAUGUGCUUUAAGCACAUGAACAUCGCCCUACUAUCCUGCUUGCUUUGGCGGAUUGCCCAAGGGCAAGGUGGCCUCUGGUUAGACAUUAUCCGAAAUAAAUACCUUCGUGGACAGCCAACUUGCCUUCUGCCAGAGAACUGGCGGCUCCCAGUUCUGGCAGUCGGUCAUCCAGCUGCUCCCGGUGCUUUGCAUCGGGACAUCCAUCUCGGUUGGAUCUGGAGCUACGACUCUGUUCUGGUUUGUCCGCUGGGUGGGCGACUCCCCCUUCGCUGUGCGCUCCCCCGACCUCUUCUCCAUCGUCGUAGAUCCUAGGAUCUCGGUUGAGAGGGUCCUUAUUGACUUAGGGUGUCUCGCCUUCCGGAGACCAUUUGGGCCUCUGGAAACUGCCGACUGGCAGGAGCUGCUUGACUGCAUUGCCCUCCACAAGCCACAGGUUGACGCUGGCCCGGAUUCUGUUCGGUGGCGCCUAGAGCCGUCGGGACAAUUCUCCACCAAGUUCCUCUACCGGGCUAUCGCCCCCUCCUCCGCCCCACCUCCCCUCACGGCGGUUUGGCAUGUCCGCCUUCCCCUGAAGAUCUGAAUCUUCAUGUGGCAAUGGAUCCGCGGACGGAUUCCGUCUGGCGUAGAGGUCCGCAAGCGCAAUGGCCCCGGUACCGGCCUUUACCCGCUUUGUGGCGUCCCUGAAGACUCGAAUCACAUCUUCUUCACUUGCUUGUCCGCCCAAUUUCUUUGGGGCUGUUUUCGUGAGGUGGUUGGUGGCAACUGGUGCCACACCAAUUUCCCCGACAUGUUCGCUGAACUCCAGGCCUCCUUCCCGCAUUCUCGCCACAUUAGGUGGCUGGAGAUUGGGACUCUUGCUUGGACCCUCUGGACGAUCCGCAAUAGAUUUGUGAUCUAGCGCAUUCCGCUUCAGCGUGCUACUGACGCUCUCUUCAAACUGUCUGGUUACUUGCAGCUCUGGCAGCCGCUUAGCCGCCCCAGGAUCGGGACGCCAUCUCUGCCUUCAUCGCCGACCUCCGCUCGAUGGUCGUCCACUUAUCGCCGCCGCUCCCUCCGCCACCUCCCGAGCCGGAUUAGGGGUCGGGUCCCUCCCCGGCCCCAUUUUGUGUUUAUUUUGGGCUUGUUGAGGUGUGCCCUCAGCAAAACCUUUUGUACUCUGUCUUGUGAGACUUGUGUGUGUGUGGUGUGAACCUUCUUGUGUACUGGUGCUAUGUGGCGGUUUGCUUUAUUUAUAAAGCAGGGCGAAAGCCUUUUUCGGUUUAA